AAGUCGUAACAAGGUUUCCGUAGGUGAACCUGCGGAAGGAUCAUUAACACGUAUCCAACGUUAAACAACCCUGUGAACUUUAAGCCUACUCUUGCAGCCCAUGAGGAACAGCAAUCCCGGUAAAUCAUUGCCAAACAGUUUUGAUUCGGGACCUGGCUUCCCCAAGCAGUUAGUGAAUGACAGUGUCACUGACUGUGUAAGGAUAACGCCUCACGGUUGCCAGAGGUCGAUCACCGACCGGCAGACAUGUCACAGGGCCACCGCGCCCCUUAAUCACUCCACUAGAAAAUGCCCCGCCUAGUGGUAACGCGCUAGGUAAAAAAAACCGAACAACUGUUAACAAUGGAUAUCUUGGUUCUC
RNAcentral lists this unclassified non-coding RNA (360 nucleotides) under fungal sp. Its description in RNAcentral is "partial internal transcribed spacer region". The stretch from base 1 to 46 matches the Rfam family "Eukaryotic small subunit ribosomal RNA", at positions 1786 to 1831 of the family's 1831-position model. The record is from RNAcentral. Lineage: Eukaryota; Fungi.